UACGAGGGGGGCGAGCGUUGUUCGGAAUUAUUGGGCGUAAAGGGUGCGUAGGCGGCCUGACAAGUCUGAUGUGAAAUCCCUGGGCUCAACCCAGGGCCUGCAUCGGAAACUGUCGGGCUUGAGUAUGGGAGAGGUGAGUGGAAUUUCCGGGUGUAGCGGUGAAAUGCGUAGAUAUCGGAAGGAACACCUGUGGCGAAAGCGGCUCACUGGACCAUUACUGACGCUGAGGCACGAAAGCUAGGGGAGCAAACAGG
This 254-nucleotide ribosomal RNA is filed under the name uncultured bacterium. Its description in RNAcentral is "partial 16S ribosomal RNA". It matches the Rfam family "Bacterial small subunit ribosomal RNA", at positions 524 to 776 of the family's 1533-position model. The record is from RNAcentral.